GUAUAGCUCAGUGGUAGAGUGCGUGCUUAGCAUGCACGAGGUCCUGGGUUCAAUCCCCAGUAC
RNAcentral lists this transfer RNA (63 nucleotides) under Camelus bactrianus (Bactrian camel). It matches the Rfam family "tRNA", at positions 5 to 66 of the family's 71-position model. From Rfam's summary of the family: Transfer RNA (tRNA) molecules are approximately 80 nucleotides in length. Their secondary structure includes four short double-helical elements and three loops (D, anti-codon, and T loops). Lineage: Eukaryota; Metazoa; Chordata; Mammalia; Artiodactyla; Camelidae. RNAcentral also lists the same sequence under 2 other names. The record is from Rfam by way of RNAcentral.